UGAGGGGGGCUGCUCCUAGUACGAGAGGACCGGAGUGGACGCAUCACUGGUGUUCGGGUUGUCAUGCCAAUGGCAUUGCCCGGUAGCUAAAUGCGGAAGAGAUAAGUGCUGAAAGCAUCUAAGCACGAAACUUGCCCCGAGAUGAGUUCUCCCUGAGACUUUAAGUCUCCUGAAGGAACGUUAAAGACGAUGACGUUGAUAGGUCGGGUGUGUAAGCGUAGCGAUACGUUGAGCUAACCGAUACUAAUGAACCGUGAGGCUUAACCUUACAACGCCGAAGGUGUUU
This 286-nucleotide ribosomal RNA is filed under the name Salmonella enterica subsp. enterica serovar Minnesota. Its description in RNAcentral is "partial 23S ribosomal RNA". It matches the Rfam family "Bacterial large subunit ribosomal RNA", at positions 2663 to 2925 of the family's 2925-position model. The record is from RNAcentral. Lineage: Bacteria; Pseudomonadati; Pseudomonadota; Gammaproteobacteria; Enterobacterales; Enterobacteriaceae.